UGGUGCCAGCAGCCGCGGUAAUUCCAGCUCCAAUAGCGUAUAUUAAAGUUGUUGCAGUUAAAAAGCUCGUAGUUGAAUUUCGGGAUUAGUACGUUGGUCGUGCCUUAGGUACGUACUGGUGUUACUGGUUCCUACCUUCUGACGAACCAUCAUGUCAUUAAUUUGGUGUGGCGGGGAAUCAGGACUGUUACUUUGAAAAAAUUAGAGUGUUUAAAGCAGGCUCGCGCUUGAAUACAUUAGCAUGGAAUAAUGAAAUAGGACGUUGACCCUAUUUUGUUGGUUUCUAGGAUUGACGUAAUGAUUAAUAGGGAUAGUUGGGGGCAUUAGUAUUCAAUUGUCAGAGGUGAAAUUCUUGGAUUUAUUGAAGACUAACUACUGCGAAAGCAUUUGCCAAGGAUGUUUUCAUUAAUCAAGAACGAAAGUUAGGGGAUCGAAGACGAUCAGAUACCGUCGUAGUCUUAACCAUAAACUAUGCCGACUAGGGA
This 485-nucleotide ribosomal RNA is filed under the name uncultured Glomus. Its description in RNAcentral is "SSU rRNA". It matches the Rfam family "Eukaryotic small subunit ribosomal RNA", at positions 562 to 1052 of the family's 1831-position model. The record is from RNAcentral. Lineage: Eukaryota; Fungi; Glomeromycota; Glomeromycetes; Glomerales; Glomeraceae. RNAcentral also lists the same sequence under 1 other name.